Taeniopygia guttata (zebra finch) is the source of this 7900-nucleotide non-coding RNA. The record is from RefSeq and is a predicted model, not a curated record. Lineage: Eukaryota; Metazoa; Chordata; Aves; Passeriformes; Estrildidae.
CUCAGCUCCUGCUGCAGCAGCAUUUCUGCUGCCCUCUGCGUAAAACGAGAGCUGCCAGGAAUGUUAGCACCAAAGAAACAGAAUUGCUGAAACACUGAUCAUUCAGAGCAAGGCUUCUCAUCCCAACACUUCCCAGUUUUAAGAUGCAGCUGGGCACUGGACUCUGGAGAUGAAAAGAGAGAAGGAAGGGAGAAACUUCAAAGAUAUCUCAGCAUCGCUUAGCUGUGAAGUGGAGCAGAAGGAAGCAUCCAUGAAAGAGAGCUGGAGAGUGGGUCCUGGAUGAGGACAUGACCUUCAGGAUGCCCCUUCCAUCUCUCACCAAAGCAGCUGAGGAGCUCCUGUUACAGAACAGCCUGUCAAGUCAAACGUGUAUACAAUGUUGUCCAGUUUUCUGCCUGGGAAAGAGAUCUCCAAGUUCUCGGUUCAGAAUGUUAAAAUUUUCUUUGUUGCUUUUUACUCUUUCAAAAAUAUCACUCAGAAUCUGUAGUUGUGAUAAUAGUAAAUGGUGUAGGGGGUUCACGUACAAUCCUGUAUUGGAUAUAUAUAGAUGGCAUCUUCCUCAGAAAAGCAGGGGCACCUAAACCCACUUGAAGCCCCUUGCUUCUUUUACUAUCUAUAAGAGAUAUCACCAUGCUACUGCAAGACGCUCCUUUCUAAGCUUCAUGUUUAAUAUAAUGGACACUUGACCUUCUCCCCGAGACAGAACAGUCACAAUAAUUAGGUGAUUUUUCUGAGUGGGAAAUAAAUGGUGCUACUUACAGAUUGCACUUGGAGCUGCAGGUCAUUUUUCUCCUUCAUUAGAGAUACCAUUUUCUCCUCAAGCUCCUUCCGCUUUGCCUCAGACUUUGCAAGAUCUUCCUUGGUUUUCUCAAAUUCUUCCUUCAUGUUGGCCAUCUCCUUCUCAGACUCUGCACUCUUCAGCAAGGGCUUGAUCUUGAAGAACAGCUUCAUCCAUGGCCAGUGUUUGACAUUCAUGAAUGCACGAAUGUUGUACUGGAUGCAGAAGAUGGAUUCCCUGAGGCAUAAUUAAAAAGUGCAAUGAAUAUUCUCAGUCUGUUGAGUGUCUUCACUUCCCCCCAAGCAGAAUGACUCUGUAACUGAAGAAGAGGAAGGUGUACCUCCGCUCCACCAUUCUCUGGUACUCCACCCUCAUCAGGUAACCCCUACACAUGGCUUGGGUGCGGGUGAUGAGCUGUGCCAGCUUCUCAUCCCUCAUCUCCUCCAGGAUCCCAAUCAGCCCAGCUUUGAAGAACACCUUGAGAGAGGCAAUGUUGCAGAACAUCACUGUCAGGUAGAGAGAGCAAAGCCCAGGCAGGCAGUGAAUGGGGGGGGAUUUGUACCUUGGUGUGUCCAAAUUUGUACUGGGUGUGGUCCACAUCGAUUGACCCAAGGAGCUUCUCAGAAGCCUUCUUGCUAUCGAUGAACUGUCCCUCAGGGAUGGCACUGGCAUUAAGCACCUUGUAUCUGUGGGAUUGGAGGAAAUAGGAAGAAGACAAUGUCCAGUCAUAAGAAUGUUCUGUUUACUGAAAGCAAGAACAGUGUUUGCAGCAGAAUCCGGCUGACAAAGUUGGAAUUUCAUCCCUCGAUACUCUAUUUCAUCCCUUUAUACAGAGAUCCUGGCAAAGCUCAUUUGUGUGAUGGAGAGUAGUUGGUGAGGACACCUGACUUAUCUCUUCAUUUCAUAGCUCUCACCUCUGUUUGAAGUCAGCAUAGAGGACUCUGCUGGGGAACCCUUUCCUGCAAAUCCUGAUCCCUUCCAGCACGCCGUUACAGCGCAGCUGGUGCAGCACCAGCUCAUGCUCCAUGGCACCUGGCAAUGCAGAGCACAGAUGAGUGGACCAGAUGGCAGAGGGGAAUGGAUGUAUCAGAGCAAGGAUCUUUCUGCUUGGGGCUCUUACCUGGCGUUUUAGUCUCAUUGGGGAUGAUACAGCGCACAAAAUGGGGAUGAGUGCUCCUCAGAUUGGUCAUCAGCUUGUUGAGAUUCUCCUGUGGGAUCAUGAUUUAGCAUGCAUUUAUAAGAAACGUGGGAAAAAUAGCCCCUUGCAAUCUUUGAAUUUAACAUGAAAGACCCAUCAAUGGAGACACACUGGGCUGAAAAUUGUUAGCUGAGAAUGUCUCAAUCAAUUGCUCAAUUCUCUCUGAUUCCCAGCACUAAACCUCACCUUGAAGGACAAGAAAAAGCUUACCAUCAACCUAAUGAAGAAUAGAAAGGGGGCACGUUUUAUGUUUAUAUAAAGUUGAAGUUUAGACUUUAUAUAAUGGCACUUUACAAUGCCAUUUUUCAUUACAUAAGUCUUUUUUUUCCGGUUGGCGGAGAAGUUAUACUUUGAAUAUCUGACGGUUGGUUGAGAAGAGAAGUUAUACUUGGACUAUAUGUUGGUUGGUUGCUUGGUUGGUUGGUUGGUUGGUUGACUGAUUGUUGGGGAUUUUUUUUGCUUUUUUUUUCUGUGUCUGAGCCAGCUAAAAGUACAGAAUAAUUCUCUGCAUAUAUGAAAAGAAAAUGUGUUUACGUACCCGGAAAAGAGCUGAGACCGUCUGAAAAGAAGAACCCUUCUUCUUGCCUCCCUUCUUGCCACCACCACCACCACUAGCCUCUGAUAAAGCAAAGAUAAUGGAUCAUCUUUUGCUUUGGGGACCAACCACUGUGCAUCAAAGAGAUGAAUUUCAGAAAACUGACCUGCCUCUCCUCCAUGUGAGGCAAAGAGCAAAGCCAGGGUCUUCACAGAUGAUUUCUGGUACAGCCCAAUGACAGUUUCAUUCAGAGGGUCCUUGUUCUUCUCCAGCCACCCAGUGAUAUUGUAGUCCACUGUGCCAGCAUAGUGCACCAGGGAGAAGUGGGCCUCAACCUUGCCUUUGGCAGGCUUGGGCUUCUGGAAGUUGUUGGACUUGCCCAGGUGCUGGUCAUAGAGCUUGUUCUUGAAAGAGGUGUCAGUUGCCUUGGGGAACAUGCACUCCUCUUCCAGGAUGGAGAAGAUGCCCAUGGGCUGGGAGAAAUCACAAGAAAGGAGGGAGGACAAGGUGAAAAGGCAGAAAGACUCAGAGAUUAAAUAACUUCCUGAGUGAGACAAUAUAAUUGCUCUCAAGGAUUAUUCUGCUCAGCAAAUUGUAAAAUAAUACAAACUGAUGUAUCUGCAGUAUCAUAUUUACCAUUUCAAACUGCUUUUAGAAAUAUAUAUAAAAUGAAUGCAUUUCUGAAAAUAUCUGACAUUGUGAAAUACAGAAAUACCUUCUCAAUGAGCUCAAUGCAGGCAGCCAGGUCCAUCCCAAAAUCAAUGAAUGUCCAUUCAAUUCCCUCCUUCUUGUACUCCUCCUGCUCCAGCACGAACAUGUGGUGGUUGAAGAACUGUUGCAGUUUCUCAUUGGUGAAGUUGAUGCACAGCUGCUCCAGGCUGUUGAACUGCUCAGUGGAAAAUAACCACAACAACCAGCUCUCAUCAAUAUACCCCGUUCUUCAUCAUUCUCCUCCACCCUUUAUAAAUCUCUCCAGUUAGAACACAACUGUAUUGUCAGGACCACACCAUAACAGAACCUUUAAGCAGCUCCAGAAAGAAAUACCUACAUAAUGAAAAUAAGGGAUUUUUUCCAGAGGAGUUUUUUAAAUGAAUCUUCUAAAAUCAAUAAAAAUAUUUCAGGAUUUUGUUAUUCUGCAAACAAGAUGAGUGCAUGCUCUUGUCUCCAAAUUGAAAACCCUUAAUAUUUCUGAUUAGAAACAUAACUAUUCAUUUUCUUACUUCUUUAAACAUUUUAAACAUCUUUAACUCGCUAUAUAUUUCCUAAUGCAUCUCCUAGCUCUGCACCAGAAGCUAUUUUAUAAAUUUAUUGGAAAUAUUUUGGGUUAUUUAAUCUGUAAGCUCAAACAGUUGUAAUAUUACAACAUAUAAAAUUCUAUUUGCUGCUUCUGCACAAACAACAUGACUCUGUGCUUGUACUGAUGGAGCUUUUGAAAAUUUUGUUUUCUGCUAGAAAAGAAAAUUACUGGCUUUUUUUCUGCAGAAAAUCACAAAUGACUAGCAUGUUAAACCUGCAGAGGAAUAUUACUUGCAAGUCCUCUGAUAUAAUAAUCCUUCGCUUCAAGAGCAGCCCUCAAACCUGACUUCCUUACAUCAAAGAUCUCAAAGCCUGCAAUGUCCAGGACACCAAUGAAGUACUGCCUGGGCUGCUUCGUGUCCAGCUGCUCGUUGAUGCGAACAACCAUCCACAGGAACAUCUUCUCAUAGACAGCCUUUGCCAGGGCACCCACUGAAUUGUUCACCUAGAGCAGAGGAGAAUGGAGCAGAAGGAAAAUAGUACCCAAAGGGAGAGGGUAAAUCAAGUGAGAGGUUCCCAGUCACCAAGUGGUUGUUGUUACCUGCUGCACAUUUUGGCCCUUGGUCACAUAUUCAUUCCCCACCUUGACGCGGGGAUAGCAGAGGGCCUUGAGCAGGUCUGCUGAGUUCAGACCCAUCAGGUAGGCAGCCUUGUCAGCAACUGAACACAAAGAGACAGGGAAGAAUUAACAGAGGAGAAGUGAUAAUUGAAAGUGGACAUCUUCUAAGAUACAUCGGUUGGUCUCAGCACUGAAAUUUCAUGAUAUCUUGAAGGGAAAUUUAGAAACAUGAACAGUCUGGAAGCUGAGAUUGAUGUAUUUAUGAAAGCAAAUGGAAGGGAAAUACCUGAUUGCAAAGUACCUGCUAUGUAACCAUUUCUGUUAUUAGGAGUUUUAUAAGACUUUAUUACCUUCAGUGCCAUCAGGCUCUGCCUGCUCCUCUCGUUGUUUCUGCUUGAACUUCAGGUUCCCGUAGUGCAUGACAGCCCCUGUCAGCUUGUAGAUGGCUAGUCUCUCAUCAGCAGUGAAACCCAGGAUUUCAAUGGCACUCUGAAAACAGAAUCAGUCAAAUAAACCUCUGGGCCAUUACAAGGAAGUUUCACCACACCAAUAUGCUCUGUGACACUUACAUCUGUGGCCAUCAGCUCCUCCUGGUCGUUAAUGCUGGGAACUGUGAUCUCACCUUGACUCACAAAUUGGUAGUCAUAUGGGUUGGUGGUGAUGAGGAGCAUGUCUGUAAAGAGGAAUAGGAUGUAUCUGGGUGUGAGAAUAAAGGUAAAUAUUAAAGACCUUACGAUUUUAUCAGACAAUUCAUAAUACUUCGUACCGAUUAGCUCUGGCUUCUUGUUGGACAUGAUCUGAUAAAAGAUGUGGUAGCUCCUUUCCGCCUUGAGCUGGAAAGUGACUCUGGACUUCUCCAGCAGAUCUGGCAAGGAAGUUGGGACAGAGUCAAGCCUGAGAAAGAACACUGAGGUGGAAAGAAGGAAGGAAUGGGAUCAGGUCUGGUGGUCUCUUACAAGUUUCAAUGUCAGCAGAAGCCAGCUUGCCUGUGGCCCCAAAGUGGAUUCGAAUGAAUUUGCCCUUUUAGAGGGGAAAGAAAAAAAGACUUUUUGAAAUUUCACCAUGAUUGUAAGCAUGCAACCUUAUAUUUUUCACAGAGGACAGGUUUCAAACUUAGCAGUUGUUUCACUUUUACUUUUUCUUAACAAAGCAAAACAGGACAAAAAGAAAUUCAGGAAAUUCUUUAUACUGCCAAUACUAGAUAGAUCUGAGCUUUUUUAUUCACUACUAUUUAAUGGAUAACCAUGAAUGCACAUGAAUGAGAAAACCACUAAAAGAGUGUUUUAUUGGGUCAUUUAUGUUGUAAUUCAAACAUAUGGAUAUACUGAAAGCCAUUUUCUAAUCAGAAAGCAUUCUGUGAAGGCAGAUUUUGGUAGUAUAAAAGUUAAAUGAGGAUUUUUACUCUUCUGGAAAACAGAAGUCAUCUGUUACUGUCUGAGUUGUAGAGAUAGAGGCAACACACCCAAAACAAGGAGCUUUAGGCUGAGACUGAGGAUUGGUAUUGUGAUUUUUCAAGGAAACUCACAGUUAAUGUAAUAGAACUUAUGAAUGGCUUUUUGCAUUAAAAAUUACAUCAAGGUCUGAACUGUCAGAUUAAUAUACCUGCCCAGUUUUGUACCUAAAACCCAGAGAGUAAUUUUUUUGCUGGUCUCAUGAAUGCCAGCAACAUUUCUAUCGAGUAGUUUCUAUCCUGUAUGCCCCAUUAUUCAUUUCUUCUAUAUUACAUCAAUUUCCGCAAAAUUGUGUCUUCAGUCUGUAUGACAGACUCUAAGAAUAUGUAUAUCUAUAUUUAUAGAUAUGCAAUUAUAUAGAUAUACAAACAUAUUUAAAUCAUCCCCAUUUGUAUACUGCAUUGCACUUCUAAGGAUGUAUUUUUAAUUAGAUAGUCUAUUUUAAUUGGCAAAAAUACGCAGAAAACAGUCAUUUAAUAAAUACACUCAUCUGACUUUGAUACUUCAGACGUGACAGUAUGUUCUGACGUACUUGUUCCCAUAUAAAUGACAACUUCUCUAAUGAAAAACUCACAAAGCGUGAGGAGUUGUCGUUCCUCACGGUCUUGGCGUUUCCAAAGGCCUCCAGCAGUGGGUUGGCGCUGAUGAUUUGAUCCUCAAGCGUUCCCUGCAGGGACAUCAUUAUUUAGUGACUGUGUUUGGUUGACAGGGCAAUGGCAGGCCAAGCAUUCUGUCUGUCCAUUCUGACUCACCUGCAUUUUGCCUGAUGACUUCUCCUCCUUCUUCUUGUCCCCACUGGCUGCAAUUGUUGCAAAGUACUGGAUGACACGCUUGGUGUUCACAGUCUUCCCGGCCCCGGAUUCUCCACUGCCAAAGCCAAGAGAGAAGCAGAGGGUGCGUGGUCAGGCAGGAGGGGCCCUGGCACCGGGCAGCCCCACAGGGACCCGCACAGGGGGUGUACGUACGUGAUCAGGAUGGACUGGUUCUCCCGAUCUGUGAACAAGGCAGAAACACGGUACUUAAAACUCAGUGAACAACAGAGAAAAAAUGAAAUAUAUUCUUGACAGUGACUUUGCCCGAUUCCCUGCUCGUGAUUGUCCCUUUCACAAAGGAUUCCUUUGCAUGUACCACGAAGACAGAUGACUUGGCAUCAAAAGGGCUGGAUUCCAUUGAUGCUGGAAACAAAACACAGCCCAGCUGAACAAGACAGGACAGAAUGGAGGAUGUGUAAGGGAAUGUCUGUUCUGCACAGAAAUGCAGCUUGUGCAAAGCACUGGAGUGCUGAUAUUCUCCAUGGAGGAAAAGGAAUUCAGGCAUCCUGAAGACAGGCUCUUGAUGAGAAGAUCACAGAAUGACAGAACCUGGUCCUCUCCAUGAGCAGGACCACCUGAACCUAGUUGCCAUCUAGAGCCACUCCAGCACCUGCCUCACUUUCUGCCACUACUUGUGAUCCAACUGCUUCUCAGCCAUGUUCUGUGAUUAUUGAAAAGAGUCUGAAAGCAAGAGGCCACAAUUUAAAGCAGACUGAAUUGUGGAAAUGUCUCAAGAAUGUUUUUCUGUGACCCUGUGGAACUCCCCAUGGCACAUUUGAGUCCUCGUGGUUGUCUGUAUCAUGGGGAUGUGUUGGGGGAUAUUUUAGGUGUGUGUUUCUUGAGGUUCAGCUGGAGUGGAGCUGCAGGUUGAGCUCUGGAGGAGCAGGAGCUUGAGCCCACAGCAAGAGGCUGUGAACUUCAGACCCUCUGCACAACCAAGGGCCAGGGGUCUUGUCAGGUGAGGGACACUUAGAGACAUGGCAGGAGGGGACGACUCCAGAUUUUUCCACCCUUAGACUGUGAGGGCAUAAAAACCCAGGAGUUCCUUUGUUUGGGGUCCCUCCUUGGAGGCACUAGCUCAGGAUAGUUAUUGCAGCAUGAUUACAUCUGAGACUCAACAAUGGGAAACUUGGUGUGACUGCAAGAGUGUGAGGGUGCAGUUGUGAAGGGUCUUGGUCCCAGCUCAGGUGGUGGGACAGUGGCUAUGAGAGUGGCUCCUGGAUGAUUGGACAGGGGAUUUCCUUUAAUAAAUGAACAUAAGAAUAUCUGUA